Molecule: ribosomal RNA, 441 nt
Filed under: uncultured bacterium
Lineage: Bacteria
Description: partial 16S ribosomal RNA
Rfam family: Bacterial small subunit ribosomal RNA
Source: RNAcentral
CCUACGGGAGGCAGCAGUGGGGAAUAUUGCACAAUGGGGGAAACCCUGAUGCAGCGACGCCGCGUGAGUGAAGAAGUAUUUCGGUAUGUAAAGCUCUAUCAGCAGGGAAGAAGAAAGACGGUACCUGAGUAAGAAGCCCCGGCUAACUACGUGCCAGCAGCCGCGGUAAUACGUAGGGGGCAAGCGUUAUCCGGAUUUACUGGGUGUAAAGGGAGCGUAGACGGCAGUGCAAGUCUGGAGUGAAAGGCGGGGGCUCAACCCCCGGACUGCUCUGGAAACUGUACGGCUGGAGUGCAGGAGAGGUAAGUGGAAUUCCUAGUGUAGCGGUGAAAGGCGUAGAUAUUAGGAGGAACACCAGUGGCGAAGGCGGCUUACUGGACUGUAACUGACGUUGAGGCUCGAAAGCGUGGGGAGCAAACAGGAUUAGAUACCCCAGUAGUC